UACGUAGGGUGCGAGCGUUAAUCGGAAUUACUGGGCGUAAAGCGUGCGCAGGCGGUGAUGUAAGACAGAUGUGAAAUCCCCGGGCUCAACCUGGGAACUGCAUUUGUGACUGCAUCGCUGGAGUGCGGCGAGGAGGGGAUCGGAUCCGCGUGUAGCAGAUGAAUGCGUAGAUAUGCGGAGGAACACCGAUGGCGAAGGCAAUCCCCUGGGCCUGCACUGACGCUCAUGCACGAAAGCGUGGGGAGCAAACAGG
RNAcentral lists this ribosomal RNA (253 nucleotides) under uncultured bacterium. Its description in RNAcentral is "partial 16S ribosomal RNA". It matches the Rfam family "Bacterial small subunit ribosomal RNA", at positions 524 to 776 of the family's 1533-position model. The record is from RNAcentral.